AAAUUGAAGAGUUUGAUCAUGGCUCAGAUUGAACGCUGGCGGCAGGCCUAACACAUGCAAGUCGAGCGGUAGCACAGAGAGCUUGCUCUCGGGUGACGAGCGGCGGACGGGUGAGUAAUGUCUGGGAAACUGCCUGAUGGAGGGGGAUAACUACUGGAAACGGUAGCUAAUACCGCAUAAUGUCGUAAGACCAAAGUGGGGGACCUUCGGGCCUCAUGCCAUCAGAUGUGCCCAGAUGGGAUUAGCUAGUAGGUGGGGUAACGGCUCACCUAGGCGACGAUCCCUAGCUGGUCUGAGAGGAUGACCAGCCACACUGGAACUGAGACACGGUCCAGACUCCUACGGGAGGCAGCAGUGGGGAAUAUUGCACAAUGGGCGCAAGCCUGAUGCAGCCAUGCCGCGUGUGUGAAGAAGGCCUUCGGGUUGUAAAGCACUUUCAGCGGGGAGGAAGGCGUUAAGGUUAAUAACCUUGGCGAUUGACGUUACCCGCAGAAGAAGCACCGGCUAACUCCGUGCCAGCAGCCGCGGUAAUACGGAGGGUGCAAGCGUUAAUCGGAAUUACUGGGCGUAAAGCGCACGCAGGCGGUCUGUCAAGUCGGAUGUGAAAUCCCCGGGCUCAACCUGGGAACUGCAUUCGAAACUGGCAGGCUAGAGUCUUGUAGAGGGGGGUAGAAUUCCAGGUGUAGCGGUGAAAUGCGUAGAGAUCUGGAGGAAUACCGGUGGCGAAGGCGGCCCCCUGGACAAAGACUGACGCUCAGGUGCGAAAGCGUGGGGAGCAAACAGGAUUAGAUACCCUGGUAGUCCACGCCGUAAACGAUGUCGAUUUGGAGGUUGUGCCCUUGAGGCGUGGCUUCCGGAGCUAACGCGUUAAAUCGACCGCCUGGGGAGUACGGCCGCAAGGUUAAAACUCAAAUGAAUUGACGGGGGCCCGCACAAGCGGUGGAGCAUGUGGUUUAAUUCGAUGCAACGCGAAGAACCUUACCUGGUCUUGACAUCCACAGAACUUUCCAGAGAUGGAUUGGUGCCUUCGGGAACUGUGAGACAGGUGCUGCAUGGCUGUCGUCAGCUCGUGUUGUGAAAUGUUGGGUUAAGUCCCGCAACGAGCGCAACCCUUAUCCUUUGUUGCCAGCGGUCCGGCCGGGAACUCAAAGGAGACUGCCAGUGAUAAACUGGAGGAAGGUGGGGAUGACGUCAAGUCAUCAUGGCCCUUACGACCAGGGCUACACACGUGCUACAAUGGCAUAUACAAAGAGAAGCGACCUCGCGAGAGCAAGCGGACCUCAUAAAGUAUGUCGUAGUCCGGAUUGGAGUCUGCAACUCGACUCCAUGAAGUCGGAAUCGCUAGUAAUCGUAGAUCAGAAUGCUACGGUGAAUACGUUCCCGGGCCUUGUACACACCGCCCGUCACACCAUGGGAGUGGGUUGCAAAAGAAGUAGGUAGCUUAACCUUCGGGAGGGCGCUUACCACUUUGUGAUUCAUGACUGGGGUGAAGUCGUAACAAGGUAACCGUAGGGGAACCUGCGGUUGGAUCACCUCCUUACCUUAAAGAA
Molecule: ribosomal RNA, 1550 nt
Filed under: Klebsiella pneumoniae
Lineage: Bacteria; Pseudomonadati; Pseudomonadota; Gammaproteobacteria; Enterobacterales; Enterobacteriaceae
Description: bacterial SSU rRNA
Rfam family: Bacterial small subunit ribosomal RNA
Source: RNAcentral